RNAcentral lists this ribosomal RNA (905 nucleotides) under Paradexiospira vitrea. RNAcentral describes it as "bacterial SSU rRNA". It matches the Rfam family "Eukaryotic small subunit ribosomal RNA", at positions 1 to 824 of the family's 1831-position model. The record is from RNAcentral. Lineage: Eukaryota; Metazoa; Annelida; Polychaeta; Sabellida; Serpulidae.
CNGGNUUGANCCUGCCNGUAGUCAUAUGCUUGUCUCAANGAUUAAGCCAUGCACGUGUAAGUACACACUCUUGAACAGUGAAACUGCGAAUGGCUCAUUAAAUCAUAUGUGAUUUCUUAGAUCGUAUAUCGGCGGCUUCACAGCUGUCGGGUUUGGAUAACUGUGGUGAUUCUAGAGCUAAUACAUGCAAUCGAGCUCAGACCCGGAGACGGGGACGAGCGCUCUUAUUAGACCAAGGCCAAACUGGUUGCUCGCGAGGGCGGCCAGUCGCUGGUGGUGACUCUGAAUAAACCUAGUUGAUCGCAAUACGGCCGCAAGGCCAGCGACGUAUCUUUCAAGCGUAUGCCCUAUCAUGUAGUCGGUAAGGUAGCGGCUUACCGAGCAGACAAUGGGUAACGGGGAAUCAGGGUUCGAUUCCGGAGAGGGGGCAUGAGAAAUGGCCACCACAUCCAAGGAAGGCAGCAGGCGCGCAAAUUACCCAAUCCCGAAACGGGGAGGUAGUGACGAAAAAUAACAAUACGGGACUCUUUCGAGGCCCCGUAAUUGGAAUGAGCACAAUUUAAAUCCUUUAGCGAGGAUCUAUUGGAGGGCAAGUCUGGUGCCAGCAGCCGCGGUAAUUCCAGCUCCAAUAGCGUAUAUUAAAGUUGCUGCAGUUAAAAAGCUCGUAGUUGGAUCUCGGGUUCACGCAGAGCGGGCUGGUCGUGUUCGCGCACGUACUGCCCGCUCGACCCAACAAGCCGAUUCCCGGCCCUGGUGGUGUGCGGUCGCGAGGCUGGUUCGCUGCUGGGAGGGACGCUGCGCUGCUUGUGCCUUUAAUCGGGUGCUUGUGGCGGUCGGUGCGUUUACCUUGAACAANUUGGAGUGCUCAAGGCARGUUACGUUAUGCUCGAACAGUUGUGCAUGGG